AUGGCAAUAAAUCUGAUUUAAUGAGAGUGGCGAAUAUAUUUUUCGAAUUUCAUGAAACUUUUAUUGAAAAAAUUCUCAUUAGAUAAGUUCAGUCAUUAUGAUGAAGUUCCUCUUUCAUGUUCUUCUCAUUGUUCUCUUGGUGUAUGAUUUGGCAGACGCUUGUUGUUGUCGGAAUCCCCCAGUUAAUGAUCCUUUUAUGGUGGGCGAUGGACUGUCUCCUGGUCCUCGAUGUGAUUAGACCAGAAAAUGUUAUACAAUCAUGAUAUAUGAGUAUAUGGACGGAACGAAAAAUGAUAUUUCGAAUGAAUUAUACAAAAAUCUAUUUGUAAUAAGAUAAAAUUGCUUAAUAAAUGUUAAAGACCCA
Molecule: long non-coding RNA, 364 nt
Organism: Coccinella septempunctata (seven-spotted ladybird)
Lineage: Eukaryota; Metazoa; Arthropoda; Insecta; Coleoptera; Coccinellidae
Exons: 2
Source: RefSeq, a predicted model, not a curated record